UACGUAGGGUGCAAGCGUUAAUCGGAAUUACUGGGCGUAAAGCGUGCGCAGGCGGUUUUGUAAGUCUGUCGUGAAAGCCCCGGGCUCAACCUGGGAAUUGCGAUGGAGACUGCAAGGCUUGAAUCUGGCAGAGGGGGGUAGAAUUCCACGUGUAGCAGUGAAAUGCGUAGAGAUGUGGAGGAACACCGAUGGCGAAGGCAGCCUUCUGGGCCAACACUGACGCUCAUGCACGAAAGCGUGGGGAGCAAACAGG
RNAcentral lists this ribosomal RNA (253 nucleotides) under uncultured bacterium. RNAcentral's name for it is "partial 16S ribosomal RNA". It matches the Rfam family "Bacterial small subunit ribosomal RNA", at positions 524 to 776 of the family's 1533-position model. The record is from RNAcentral.